AUCAACUUUCGAUUGGUAGGAUAGAGGCCUACCAUGGUGGUAACGGGUAACGGGGUGUUAGGGCACGACACCGGAGAGGGAGCCUGAGAAACGGCUACCACAUCCAAGGAUGGCAGCAGGCGCGCAAAUUACCCAAUCCCGACACGGGGAGGUAGUGACAAUAAAUAACAAUACGGGGUUCUUUAGGAUCUCGUAAUUGGAAUGAGUACAAUUUAAAUCUCUUAACGAGGAACAAUUGGAGGGCAAGUCUGGUGCCAGCAGCCGCGGUAAUUCCAGCUCCAAUAGCGUAUAUUAAAGUUGUUGCAGUUAAAAAGCUCGUAGUUGAAUUUCGGGGUUAGUAGGUUGGUCAUGCCUCUGGUAUGUACUGGUCUCACUGAUUCCUCCUUCCUGAUGAACCGUAAUGCCAUUAAUUUGGUGUUGCGGGGAAUUUGGACUGUUACUUUGAAAAAAUUAAAGUGUUUAAAGCAAGCUAACGCUUGAAUACAUUAGCAUGGAAUAAUGAAAUAGGACGCUCGAUCCUAUUUUGUUGGUUUCUAGGAUUGACGUAAUGAUUAAUAGGGAUAGUUGGGGGCAUUAGUAUUCAAUUGUCAGAGGUGAAAUUCUUGGAUUUAUUGAAGACUAACUACUGCGAAAGCAUUUGCCAAGGAUGUUUUCAUUAAUCAAGAACGAAAGUUAGGGGAUCGAAGACGAUCAGAUACCGUCGUAGUCUUAACCAUAAACUAUGCCGACUAGGGAUCGGAUGAUGUUAAUUUUUUAAUGACUCAUUCGGCGCCUUACGGGAAACCAAAGUGUUUGGGUUC
This 800-nucleotide ribosomal RNA is filed under the name uncultured Glomus. Its description in RNAcentral is "SSU rRNA". It matches the Rfam family "Eukaryotic small subunit ribosomal RNA", at positions 314 to 1114 of the family's 1831-position model. Lineage: Eukaryota; Fungi; Glomeromycota; Glomeromycetes; Glomerales; Glomeraceae. The record is from RNAcentral.